CAAGGGAGGAAGAGAUUUCCAUUGGGAGAGUCACACUGAAAAUAGAAAGCCUGCCUGCCCCUGAAAUACCGGGACCUAAGCCCCUCCUCCUCUGGCUGCCUUCAAUGAGCUCCUUUCACUGCAAUUAAAGCAACCAAGACAAAGCUCCUCCUCAUUCAUGCCUUUUGGGAUCCUGAUCUUUGCUUUCAGGAAGCAACUAACAUCCUCCCCCUUACUGUUAGAUGACUUGCAUGUGAAGGUUGGAGUGGGAUUUCCUGGAUAUUAAAUCCUAGUCUCAGUACACGAAGAAAUCACAACACCGUGGAGCUGCCGACCCUAAGCCCCGUGUCACUCAUUUCCUUUAUUAGUAGUUUGAAAAUUGCAUAUAGCAUGGUUUGAGUAUAUUCACCUUCUCUCUCCCAACUCUUCCUAGACUCACCCCCUUUUUUUUCCCCAUUCACUUCUGGGUACUUGCUUUUUAUUGUCAUGUGAUGUAGAAUUACAAAUUACUUAUUGGUGGCAAUACAGGAUAUACAACUAGGACAUUAUCUGUAAGA
RNAcentral lists this long non-coding RNA (536 nucleotides) under Mus spicilegus (steppe mouse). RNAcentral's name for it is "lncRNA (ENSMSIG00000000219.1)". Lineage: Eukaryota; Metazoa; Chordata; Mammalia; Rodentia; Muridae. The record is from RNAcentral.